AAAACACAUCUCGCUACUCUCUCUCUCUCUCUCUCUCACUCUGCCCUAACUCCAAACCCCAUGAAUGGCGAUCAAAGCUCGCCCAAACCCCACUGCUCGCCCCGAUCCCUCUUCUCUAAGUUCUGGUCAUCGACGCAACACUCCACCCCAAUCCCAGCUCUCCUUUCGCUCCCGUUCUCUUCUCCGUUCGGGCCAAGCUCAGCCCCUAACAUUGUCGUUUCUGCUCAGGCCAAGCUCGCACAAAAUAACCCUAUAUAUUCAGCCUCUCUUCUUUGACGAGGGUAGAAAGCUAGAGCACCAGGGUAGUGGUCUUGAACCUGUUUUGGUUGCUGCAAUCCCUACCAUGAAAUUCAACCAUGAGGCCUUCAGUUCUAUAGAAGAGACACAGACAUGGCAGAAAAGCUCACACAGCAACUUUUAAAUCAUUUGGAACACAGAGAAAGGACAAGAAAGAUAAAGAAAAAGAAUGUGUUCGGUAAAAAAGACCAGCAGGUCACUGAGUCCUACGAAGGCGAGGAUCGCAGAUGUAGAACGAGCUUCUUGGUCGGGGUUUUACUUCCAAAUGUAAAUCGUUGAUUAAAUUGACCAAGACUUGAAUUGAUUUUAUAAGGAGAAAGGAAAAUGCAACUCAGAAAUUUUUGAAGAAAGAUGUUGCUGAUCUACUUGCCAAUGGCCUUAUCAAUGCUUAUGGAAGGGUAUUUUGAUUCGUUUCCAUCUUUUGUGCUUUGCUUUUGAUUCACUUAUCUUACCGUUUUUUAGCUGAGCGAAUUUCGUUAGAAAUGUAAUUUUCUUUCUUCUGUUUUGUUCUUGUGAAUAUUUAAAGAAAGAUAUAUUUGUAGUCUUUAGAAGAAAUUAAGAAGCAAGCUUGAGAUUCUGGUUAAAAUUUGUCUAUUGAAACAUUACUGUGUUAUUGUUCUAACUAACAAACUGAAAUGAUUCAAUAUGAAGAUAGUUUAAUUAUUUGAAGUAGAAAAAGGGUCAUGUGGGAGAAUACAGUGAAUAAAGAAGACAUUAAUUCGCAUAUUAGCUUUGUUGUGUGACCGUUGUGCUAGAACUCUAGUGGGAGUGGUAAGAGUAUUUACUUCUUUAAUUUGAAUCAGGUAGACAAUAGUAGAAUUUUAUGUGGACAUGUUACUACUGCCAUCUAUCUAUGCAUUUUUAUUUCACUGAAAUUUUAUGUUCUCAAUUCUCUAAGGUACCAAUUGUAUUACAUUGAUGAGUAAUUAAGGUACCAAUUUAGUAAAUUAUUAUAUAAAAUCAUUCUAUAAUUUGAUAAUAUAGGUGGAGAAAAUUACAAGAAAAAUUGUAAUUUUUCCUAACUUACAUUUAUGCUUCAUUUUAUAACUGACGCAAUAGGUGAAAAAAAAAGUAUUUCAGCAAUUUAUGUGUCAUUUUAUAACCGACGAUAUAACUUUCUAGUGGUGGUUUUGAAAUGCCACAAAUGAUUUUGCGUCAUUUCCAAACUGACGCAGAAAAUAUAAAAGAAGAAUGUAUAUUUUGCGACGGUUUUUAAAUGAAGCUAAUUGUUUUUUGCGUCAUUUUAAAAACGACGCUAAUAAAAAACUAUUUGCGACUACGGAAUAUACGUCGGUUUAAAAAACCGACGCAAAUUCUUUAAAUG
Cannabis sativa is the source of this 1621-nucleotide RNA transcript. RefSeq lists it as uncharacterized. NCBI's taxonomy places the organism in Eukaryota, Viridiplantae, Streptophyta, Magnoliopsida, Rosales, Cannabaceae. The transcript is spliced from 6 exons. The record is from RefSeq and is a predicted model, not a curated record.